ACUUCUUUUAGUUUGUUGCCUGGACUUGGGAGUUGGGCCCAGAGCUGCAGGAAGAAAUGUUCAAUCAUAUACAACAUUGGAGCAAGUGAUAUGAUGCACCUCAUGUACCCAUCACCUAACUUCCAACAGUAUUUUGUCAGGGGAUAUUAUGAUCACUGCCAUGAAGACAAAUGCUUAGGAAAGGACUUAGAAGCCUUACAAAUACAUCUGUGCAUUCUUGCUUCAGACUUUACAACUGAGGGCCAGCCCAGUCUGGAAGCAUCUCUUAUUAAUGUUACAAGGAAACCGCUACCUCAGCAAACAAAAGGAAUGGAGGAGGAGACUUACAACAAACGCCAUUUAAAAAAAAAAGAAAAACUUGUUUUCAGGAAACAUUAGAGGAAAUUUGGAGAAUUUCAGCAUUGCAUAGAAGCAGCCUUACAGGUAAACGGAUUUGACGGGCAGGCUCUGUCAAAAUUCUGCAGAAGUUUGAUCUUCCUUCUUAAGGACUUUGUGUGAAGUAAUUCUUUACUGCUUUUAAAUUGCUGUUGAUCAGCUUCUGGGUUUUUGGGUUCUAACUUUUUUGGGUAUAUUGAAGACACAGU
This 584-nucleotide long non-coding RNA is filed under the name Homo sapiens (human). RNAcentral describes it as "granule associated Rac and RHOG effector 1 (ENSG00000279389.3)". Lineage: Eukaryota; Metazoa; Chordata; Mammalia; Primates; Hominidae. The record is from RNAcentral.